UGUGAAGGAAUAAGCGCUGAACGACUCUAUGUUUGCCGCCCACCCAAAGAUGAGAUUGCCCAUUUCUUUAAGAAAGUAAGAUCCCUGAGAGAUGAUCAGGUAGAUAGGUCAGGAGUGGAAGUACAGUGAUGUAUGGAGCGGACUGAUACUAAUCGAUCGAGGACUUAACCAA
This 172-nucleotide ribosomal RNA is filed under the name Enterococcus lactis. RNAcentral's name for it is "partial 23S ribosomal RNA". It matches the Rfam family "Bacterial large subunit ribosomal RNA", at positions 2755 to 2925 of the family's 2925-position model. Lineage: Bacteria; Bacillati; Bacillota; Bacilli; Lactobacillales; Enterococcaceae. The record is from RNAcentral.